ACAGCUGCUGAAGCUAGCUCACAAUAUCCCUGUCUGCCAGAGAGUGGGGAAGAGAAGGGACCGGCACAGGGCCCCCUCCAUCUCCUACCUAUUAGUGAAGAUCCAUUCGGCAGAGUAGCUGUCGACAUUAUAGUUGCGCAGGCACUUUGGUGACUCUAGAGAACCUCGGGCCAAUCGCACGUCCCCGUGAUGGCGACUUUGCAUUCAGUUGUCUGCCCUAUCAACUUUCGAUGCCACUUUCUGCGCCUACCAUGAUGACCACGGGUAAUGGGGAAUCAGGGUUCGAUUCCG
This is a non-coding RNA of Pelobates cultripes (western spadefoot toad), 291 nucleotides long. The record is from the annotation of a GenBank genome assembly. NCBI's taxonomy places the organism in Eukaryota, Metazoa, Chordata, Amphibia, Anura, Pelobatidae.